RNAcentral lists this ribosomal RNA (429 nucleotides) under uncultured bacterium. Its description in RNAcentral is "bacterial SSU rRNA". It matches the Rfam family "Bacterial small subunit ribosomal RNA", at positions 355 to 776 of the family's 1533-position model. The record is from RNAcentral.
UGAGGAAUAUUGCGCAAUGGGCGAAAGCCUGACGCAGCGACGCCGCGUGGAGGAUGAAGGUCUUUGGAUUGUAAACUUCUGUUAAGUGGGAAGAAAAGCGCAGUACUAAUACGACUGUGAAAUGACUGUACCAUUAGAGAAAGCACCGGCUAACUUCGUGCCAGCAGCCGCGGUAAUACGAAGGGUGCGAGCGUUCUUCGGAUUUAUUGGGCGUAAAGGGUGCGCAGGCGGUGUACUAAGUCAACUGUUUAAUUUCCCGGCCUAACCGGGAGUCAGCAGUAGAUACUAUUAUGCUAGAGGGUGGAAGAGAGAAGUGGAAUUCUUGGAGUAGCGGUAAAAUGCGUAGAUCUCAAGAGGAACACCGAUGGCGAAGGCAGCUUCUUGGUCCAUUCCUGACGCUCAUGCACGAAAGCGUGGGGAGCAAACAGG